AUACGUAGGGGGCGAGCGUUGUCCGGAAUGAUUGGGCGUAAAGGGCGCGUAGGCGGCCCGGUAAGUCUGGAGUGAAAGUCCUGUUUUUAAGAUGGGAAUUGCUUUGGAUACUGUCGGGCUUGAGUGCAGGAGAGGUAAGUGGAAUUCCCAGUGUAGCGGUGAAAUGCGUAGAGAUUGGGAGGAACACCAGUGGCGAAGGCGACUUACUGGGCCGUAACUGACGCUGAGGCUCGAAAGCGUGGGGAGCGAACAGGAUUAGAUACCCUGGUAGUCCACGCGGUAAACGAUGAAUGCUAGGUGUUGCGGGUAUCGACCCCUGCAGUGCCGGAGUAAACACAAUAAGCAUUCCGCCUGGGGAGUACGGCCGCAAGGUUGAAACUCAAAUGAAUUGACGGGG
This 397-nucleotide ribosomal RNA is filed under the name uncultured bacterium. Its description in RNAcentral is "partial 16S ribosomal RNA". It matches the Rfam family "Bacterial small subunit ribosomal RNA", at positions 523 to 918 of the family's 1533-position model. The record is from RNAcentral.